RNAcentral lists this ribosomal RNA (158 nucleotides) under Coleophoma caliginosa. RNAcentral describes it as "5.8S ribosomal RNA". It matches the Rfam family "5.8S ribosomal RNA". Rfam says of the family: 5.8S ribosomal RNA (5.8S rRNA) is a component of the large subunit of the eukaryotic ribosome. It is transcribed by RNA polymerase I as part of the 45S precursor that also contains 18S and 28S rRNA. The record is from RNAcentral. Lineage: Eukaryota; Fungi; Ascomycota; Leotiomycetes; Helotiales; Dermateaceae.
AACUUUCAACAACGGAUCUCUUGGUUCUGGCAUCGAUGAAGAACGCAGCGAAAUGCGAUAAGUAAUGUGAAUUGCAGAAUUCAGUGAAUCAUCGAAUCUUUGAACGCACAUUGCGCCCUCUGGUAUUCCGGAGGGCAUGCCUGUUCGAGCGUCAUUAC